Non-coding RNA from Pelobates cultripes (western spadefoot toad), 585 nucleotides. NCBI's taxonomy places the organism in Eukaryota, Metazoa, Chordata, Amphibia, Anura, Pelobatidae. The record is from the annotation of a GenBank genome assembly.
CCACCUCAAUCUGUAAAUCCUGGGUUGAUGCUUUUAUUACUAUAUAGCACUGGGUUGCUUUCCUCCCCAUUCACUGUUUAGUGAAUAUACCCUUUAUGCUGUGUUUCCAGAUUUUCUCAUUGUUUUAUGGAUCAUUUACUCCUGGUAGAAGCAUUAGUAUUUCUAUUUGCCCCUUUUCAGAUUUACUUUUUUUUGUCAAAUAUGACAUACACAUCCUUUAUACUGGCAACAAGGCUGUACUAAGAUCAAAAGAUGGCAUGCAAUUGCACCAGGGGGAUAAGCCAGGGUGAACUCAAACCAUUAGCAGAGAUAUUUUUAUUCUGUAUCUGCUCCAGAACCUCCAGAGACAUUGUGCCUCCACCGUCACUAUGCCUGCUUUCCCUGGGGUCACCGAUUCACUAGGUCAGGGAAAGGAAACAUUCGGCACUCCAGAUCUGGUGGACUGCAUCCUCCAUAAUGCUGUUACAACCAUAAUGCUGACAAAGCACCAUGGGAGAUGCAGUCCAAAACAUCAGGAGUGCCGAAGGUUGCCUAUGCCUGCACUAGGUAAUAACACAGAUCUUUAAAAUGCCCGCAAUAUCGUCC